CCGGAUCCUUUUUACACGGGUAAUCGGGUGCCCUGAUGUUUGGGUAAUUUACAUCCUCUCUCAAAUUCGACGGUGAUUCAGUCGGCCAAUUUGUACACACUCCUACCAUAGAUUGUGCUUCCUUUGAGAUUGGAACCAUCUUAUGCCUCUCCCGGUGUCGAUAGAAUCUGUUAGUAUCAAGAACUUUCGUGAAUCCAUCAACAAAUUGGAGCUCUGUAGGUACAUGUUCUAUUAUUCUUAAUACUCCUCUAUUUAUUAAUUUACAGACAAAAUAGUAGCUUAUCUCAAUAUAUCUUGAACGCACUGUGAUUGUCACAUAAUAGAAUAGGAAGAUUAUUCAAUUUAAUCCCUAAUUCUCGAAAUUAGCAUGCGCCAUUGCUUUAAAUUCAACCUCAGUGCUUGAAUUUGACACUGAUGGUUGUUUCUUGGCUGACCAAGAUAACAAAUUCCCUUUAUACUAGAUGCUUGAACCAGUGAUUGAUCUUCUUUCAGUGGUUCCUCCCCAAUCAGCAUAUGUAUAUGCUAUUAGUUCAUUCAUACUAUCUGUGCCUCUGGUCAUGCUUAAUCCCAUUGUAUAUGUCCCCUUUAAGUACCUGAAAAUUCUCCUUACUACAUUCAUAUGACCCUCCUUGGGUUUUUGCAAGAACUGACAUACCUGAUUAAUUGGGAAUGAGAGAUCAGGCCUGGUCAAUGCUAGGUAGUAUAAGCUCCCGACUAUGCUUCUAUAAAGUGUGAUAUCUUCAACAUAUCUUCACCCAUCUCAUGUUGUGCUUUGGGAAAUUGAAAAUGGUUCUCACUGGGUUUGACUGAUCAUAACCAUAUUUUUUUUAAUAUAUCUUUUGUGUAACCUUCCUGAGAUAUAACCAUCUCGAUCUUCCCCUUGAUAGACACAUUGGAUUCCUAAAAAGUAGCUUAGUAUCCACAUGUCUCUGCCAUGAAAUGUUUUACAAGUCAUUUUAAUGAAUUAUGAAAUUUCAUUCUCAGACUAAUACCAAGAUUUUAGUUUUUUAAAAUGUUCUAAAAAAUAGUGAAGCAUCUGCACUUGAAUUCUGAAAUUUGUUGUUUAUUAAAUGCUAUUGCAGUUUUAAGUACCAAGCCCUAGGAGCUUGCUUCAGGCCAUAUAGUGCCUUCUGAAGUAAACAUACAUGAUCUGGUCUGGAUUUAUAUUGAUAUCCCUUGGGUUGUCUCAUAGAGAACACCUCCUGUAAAUUUUCAUUCAGGAAUGCAUUCCUAACAUCCAAUUGUCUUAAUCUCCACCCAUUACUAACUGCCAAAGAUAACACAGUUCUUACUGCUGAGAUUUUCACCACAGGAUUGUAAGUAUACUGAAAAUCUACUCCUUCCUCCUGACUAUACCCUUGUGCCACCAGCCUUGCUUUGCACCUCUCUAUACUCCCAUCUGAUUUUCUUUUCAACUUAUACACCCACUUGCAUCCCACUAUGUUCAUAUGAUCUCCUUUUUCCACUAACUCCAAGUCUGAUUUUCUUUAAUUGUCUGCAUCUCCUCAUCCAUUGCCCUUCUCCAACAUUCAUUCUUAUUUGCCUGUGAAAGCUAUGUAGGCUCAAAAAUUUCAUUAGUCAUAUAUAUAUAUAGUAGCAUUACACUCAUACUUUUUAUAUUUAGUAUAUAUCAACACAUUUAAUUUUGAUUCUUUUUUAUUUCCUUGCUCUGAGAAGAGUCCUGUCCUGAUUUUGAGAAUCACCUGCAGUAGAAUGGUUUAUAUCUAGAUUCAAUUCCAGAUUAACCUUGUUCUCAGUGUUUUCAAUUGGAUUUGUUUUUGAAGAGUUGGUAUCUAUUGGUCCAGACUUACUAUUAGAGUAGCAUGUUGAUGUAAUAGACUGACCUUUGAGUGUAUUAGAGUUGAUUUGAGACAUAUUAGAAUUGUUUGGACAAACAUUGGGAGUUAUAUGAAUUGGAAUUGAAUUAUUAAAAAACAUUGUUGGAUUUACUUGACUCUCUUGGCCUAACCUAUAUCUAUAGACCUUGAGCUAGAAGAAUGAUGAAUCCCAUUACAUGCUUUCUAACCUAGGUAAAGACUAUAUGAUUCACACCAUCUUGUUGUAUAGGUGGAUAGGAUGGAUAGAUGCAUUACCAAAACACGAGGUCAACUAAAUUUUUUUUUCUUUUCUAAUUCAAUAUCAUUCCUUAAUUUUUCCUGAAUGAGUAGAAACUCAUCUUCAUUGAACAAUACAAUCCUAUACACCUUGAUUUCUUUAUUCUCUAAGUCUAUACAUUUAUAACCCUUUUGUUGAGCUGGAUACCCCAUAAAAACGCACUUUUUGGCCUUUGGCAUCAGGUUGUCUCUAUUUUCUUUGGGUAAUAAAGGAUAACAACUACAUCCUAGAGUUUUCAUCAUCUUGUAGUUUGGUUGCCUUUUCAUCAAUAGUUCAAAUGGACUUUUGUUAUCUAAAUUUGGUGUUUCCAGUCUAUUUAUCAAAUAAACAGCAGUGGAAAAAAAAUUUCGUCUAGUAUUCAUGUGAAAUUUCAGAUUUUCCUACUUCCAAAAUUUGUUUGUGCCUUCUUUUAACUAACCCAUGUUGUUUAGGGUGUGUGUGAGCAAGUCAUCCUCUGUUUAAUCCCUGAAUAGUAGGGGAGAUGCCGGUGAGAAGUCAACUCAGAAUCAACUGAUCCUGUUGACGCGCGACCGGAGUGGAUAGCUCUACCGAACCUUCGACAUAAAGCAUUAGUUCGUAGCCGCACAACAUAGCGGAGAACUGAGCUUCCCAAGAAUAGUAGUUCUCCUUCUCGAGAAGAACACAUCGGGAGUGCUUCAUGACGAUCUUAGACGGUAGAGACAUUGGAGAGUCGUCAGCCAUGGAAGAGACGACAGCAGCAGCGGAAAACGUAGAUGUCAUCGGAAAAAUAACGAUGAUCAAUUAAAAAUUGAAUGAUACCAUAUAACAAAGUGGAAGAAGAAUGACUUCGCCGGAGAGUAAUUCCGAUGAGUUUGUAUUGAAUCAGAUAAAUCUUGAUUGUAUUAUUACAGGUGGUUUUAUAACCACUAAGAUAACUACUAUUGCAACAUACUAAGAUAACUACUAAGAACUAUAACUAAUUUAUACGUUGGUUAUUAGUUGAUGCACCAACUCAACUUUAACUAACUGGUCCAACAAGUCG
RNAcentral lists this long non-coding RNA (3118 nucleotides) under Zostera marina. RNAcentral's name for it is "long non-coding RNA (ZMAR_LNC001180)". The record is from RNAcentral. Lineage: Eukaryota; Viridiplantae; Streptophyta; Magnoliopsida; Alismatales; Zosteraceae.